This 88-nucleotide transfer RNA is filed under the name Desulfitobacterium hafniense. RNAcentral's name for it is "Ser". It matches the Rfam family "tRNA". From Rfam's summary of the family: Transfer RNA (tRNA) molecules are approximately 80 nucleotides in length. Their secondary structure includes four short double-helical elements and three loops (D, anti-codon, and T loops). Further hydrogen bonds mediate the characteristic L-shaped molecular structure. tRNAs have two regions of fundamental functional importance: the anti-codon, which is responsible for specific mRNA codon recognition, and the 3' end, to which the tRNAs corresponding amino acid is attached (by aminoacyl-tRNA synthetases). tRNAs cope with the degeneracy of the genetic code in two manners: having more than one tRNA (with a specific anti-codon) for a particular amino acid; and 'wobble' base-pairing, i.e. permitting non-standard base-pairing at the 3rd anti-codon position. The record is from RNAcentral. Lineage: Bacteria; Bacillati; Bacillota; Clostridia; Eubacteriales; Desulfitobacteriaceae. RNAcentral also lists the same sequence under 7 other names.
GGAGGAGUACCCAAGUGGUGAAGGGGUCGCACUCGAAAUGCGAUAGGUCGGCAACGGCGCGUGGGUUCAACCCCCACCUCCUCCGCCA